GCAUAUAGUGCAAUAAUGGUUUCAGGAGUAGAAUCCAGUGAUUCAUCCCCUACAUAUAACACACAGUGCUCUUUCCAACAAGUGUCCUCCUUAAUGAUCCUUGCCCAUUUAACCCAACCCCCCACCUAUGACCCCUCCAGCAACCCUGUUUGUUCUCUAUAUUUAAGAUUCUCUUAUGUUUUUAC
Molecule: long non-coding RNA, 185 nt
Organism: Herpailurus yagouaroundi (jaguarundi)
Lineage: Eukaryota; Metazoa; Chordata; Mammalia; Carnivora; Felidae
Exons: 3
Source: RefSeq, a predicted model, not a curated record